CUGAGCCAGGAUCUUAAGCCCCGCGGGGACGAACCAUCCGGCCCGUACCGCGAUCCGACACAGGUGUGCUAGGCGAGUAUCCGAAGGCGUUCGGGCGAACCCUCGUGAAGGAACUCGGCAAAAUGACCCCGUACCUUCGGUACAAGGGGUGCUCUCCCAAGGAGAGCCGCAGAGAAUCGGCUCUAGCGACUGUUUAUCAAAAACACAGGACUCUGCCAACUCGCAAGAGGACGUAUAGAGUCUGACGCCUGCUCGGUGUCGGUAGGUUAAGGGAGCCGAUGAGGCGAGAGCCAAAGUUGGCGACCGAAGCCCCGAUAAACGGCGGCCGUAACUAUGACGGUCCUAAGGUAGCGAAGUUCCUUGUCGGGUAAGUUCCGACCUGCAUGAAUGGCGUAACGACUGGAGCACUGUCUCCACGAGGGACCCGGUGAAACUGUAGCCGUGGUGAAGAUGCCACGUACCCGCGGUCAGACGGAAAGACCCCGUGAACCUUUACUGCAGGUUGGCAUUGGGUCAGCGUCCUUUCUGUGUAGCAUAGGUGGGAGGCCGUGAUCCGGCGGCGCCAGCCGUCGGGGAUCCAUCGGUGAAAUACCACCCUGAAAUGACUCUGAUCCUCACCGGUCCGUAGCCCGGACCGGGACCAUGCUCAUCGGGCAGUUUGACUGGGGCGGUCUCCUCCCAAAGCGUAACGGAGGAGUGCAAUGGUACCCUCGGCCAGGUCGGCAAUCUGGCAACAUGAGCGCAAACGUAGAAGGGUGCCUGACUGCGAGACCCAUCAGUCGAGCAGGGACGAAAGUCGGCGUUAGUGAUCCGGCGGUGCUGGAUGGAAAGGCCGUCGCUCAACAGAUAAAAGGUACUCCGGGGAUAACAGGCUGAUCUCCCCCGAGCGUCCAUAGCGGCGGGGAGGUUUGGCACCUCGAUGUCGGCUCAUCGCAUCCUGGGGCUGGAGAAGGUCCCAAGGGUUUGGCUGUUCGCCAAUGAAAGCGGUACGCGAGCUGGGUUCAGACCGUCGUGAGACAGGUCGGUCCCUAUCUGCCGUGGGCGGAGGAAACUUGCGAAGGGUCUCCCCUAGUACGAGAGGAUUGGGGAGGACCGACCUCUGGUGUACCGGCUGUCCCGCUCGGGGCACCGCCGGGUAGCCAGGUCGGGAAAGGAUAAGCGCUGAAGGCAUCUAAGCGCGAAGCCCUCUUCAAGACGAGGUUUCCAGCACGCAAGUGCGAAGGCUCCUGGAAGACGACCAGGUCGAUAGGCCGGGAGUGCACGGCGAGCGAUCGCCGCAGCCGACCGGUCCUAACAGCCGAUCGCUUGACCAC
This 1313-nucleotide ribosomal RNA is filed under the name metagenome. RNAcentral describes it as "bacterial LSU rRNA". It matches the Rfam family "Bacterial large subunit ribosomal RNA", at positions 1600 to 2925 of the family's 2925-position model. The record is from RNAcentral.